Long non-coding RNA from Myripristis murdjan (pinecone soldierfish), 698 nucleotides. Ensembl lists it as uncharacterized. The record is from Ensembl. Lineage: Eukaryota; Metazoa; Chordata; Actinopteri; Holocentriformes; Holocentridae.
UGGGCGGCGGAUAGGAAAAUGACAACUACGCCGGUUGGAAAGCAGCAAAGACACUUCGCGCCAGGUGUAAAAUAGGGCCCCCAGUGUUUCCUUAAGCAUAUUUAUCCUAUUUAGAUGAUUGGCAAAGCAAAAAUAACCCCAACUUUGGAUUACCAGCGUUAAAAGCAGAGAUGGAGCCUUGGAGCCUACUCAUGCCAGGCACUGCUCGUUGCACCAGGAGCAGGUUGAGCUAGCUUUGCUAAUGUAACAGUCACAUUAUGCCAACAUGUGGAUAUACACGUCAAGACAGAGAUACAUUCAGUGGGACUUCUAUUAUAACAUAAAAAAGUUGUCCACAUGGAGGAACCAGAGGGCAGCUGUAUCAAGACUUUCAGCAGGCCAGCCAUGUUAAAAGAUGACGCUCAGCUGUUAUUUGCCACUGGAGACUCACAAUUUAUGUGCUUUAAAAGGAGCACUGCAACCAUUUUAACAAAUUUACUAUCAUUAUCAAAUUGCUACAGCUAUUCUUUGUUUUGGACAUAAACUAUAGUGCUAAUAAAAAUGUCACACAAUAUGCCGUGCCUGCAGUAACUCAUCGUUUUCCCCUGAUGAGAAGAGAAACUGGUUUCAUUUGGCAUGUGCAGUAAAACCCGGCAUGGAUCGGAUAUUGUAUUUGUUAGAAUAAAAAGUGUACCUGAUGUGAAAUACUGGAUGAUUGG